UAGUCAUAUGCUUGUCUCAAAGAUUAAGCCAUGCAUGUCUAAGCACAAGCCGAUUAAUGGUGAAGCCGCGAAUGGCUCAUUACAACAGCCAUAGUUUCUUAGAUCUUACUUUUCUACUUGGAUAACUGUGGUAAUUCUAGAGCUAAUACACGCAAACAAGCUCAGACCUUACGGAAUGAGCGCAUUUAUUAGAACAAAAACCAAUCGGGCUUCGGUCCGUCAUUUGGUGAAUCUGAAUAACUUUGCUGAUCGCACGGUCUUCGUACCGGCGACAUAUCUUUCAAAUGUCUGCCUUAUCAACUUUCGAUGGUAGUUUAUGCGCCUACCAUGGUUGUAACGGGUAACGGAGAAUAAGGGUUCGACUCCAGAGAGGGAGCCUGAGAAACGGCUGCCACAUCCAAGGAAGGCAGCAGGCACGCAAAUUACCCACUCCCGGCACGGGGAGGUAGUGACGAAAAAUAACGAGACGGCUCGCUAUGCGGUCCGUCAUCGGAAUGGGUACAAUUUAAAUCCUUUAACGAGGAUCUAUU
This 530-nucleotide ribosomal RNA is filed under the name uncultured eukaryote. RNAcentral describes it as "SSU rRNA". It matches the Rfam family "Eukaryotic small subunit ribosomal RNA", at positions 21 to 549 of the family's 1831-position model. The record is from RNAcentral.